Molecule: ribosomal RNA, 324 nt
Filed under: uncultured eukaryote
Lineage: Eukaryota
Description: partial 18S ribosomal RNA
Rfam family: Eukaryotic small subunit ribosomal RNA
Source: RNAcentral
CCCUUAGAUGUCCUGGGCUGCACGCGCGCUACACUGAUGUGUCCAGUAAGCACCUAACCUCUUCCGAAAGGAACGGGUAACCUUUGCAAAGCACAUCGUGAUGGGGAUAGAUUAUUGCAAUUAUUAGUCUUGAACGAGGAAUUCCUAGUAAGCACAAGUCAUCAGCUUGUGUUGAUUACGUCCCUGCCCUUUGUACACACCGCCCGUCGCUCCUACCGAUUGAAUGUUCCGGUGAGCUCUUCCGACUGCGCGGUCUGCAGUUUCUGCGUUCCGUGCGGAAAGUUGCGCAAACCUUAACAUUUAGAGGAAGGAGAAGUCGUAACA